CUGGCGGCGUGCCUAAUACAUGCAAGUAGAACGCUGAAGAGAGGAGCUUGCUCUUCUUGGAUGAGUUGCGAACGGGUGAGUAACGCGUAGGUAACCUGCCUUGUAGCGGGGGAUAACUAUUGGAAACGAUAGCUAAUACCGCAUAACAAUGGAUGACACAUGUCAUUUAUUUGAAAGGGGCAAUUGCUCCACUACAAGAUGGACCUGCGUUGUAUUAGCUAGUAGGUGAGGUAACGGCUCACCUAGGCGACGAUACAUAGCCGACCUGAGAGGGUGAUCGGCCACACUGGGACUGAGACACGGCCCAGACUCCUACGGGAGGCAGCAGUAGGGAAUCUUCGGCAAUGGGGGCAACCCUGACCGAGCAACGCCGCGUGAGUGAAGAAGGUUUUCGGAUCGUAAAGCUCUGUUGUAAGUCAAGAACGAGUGUGAGAGUGGAAAGUUCACACUGUGACGGUAGCUUACCAGAAAGGGACGGCUAACUACGUGCCAGCAGCCGCGGUAAUACGUAGGUCCCGAGCGUUGUCCGGAUUUAUUGGGCGUAAAGCGAGCGCAGGCGGUUUGAUAAGUCUGAAGUUAAAGGCUGUGGCUCAACCAUAGUUCGCUUUGGAAACUGUCAAACUUGAGUGCAGAAGGGGAGAGUGGAAUUCCAUGUGUAGCGGUGAAAUGCGUAGAUAUAUGGAGGAACACCGGUGGCGAAAGCGGCUCUCUGGUCUGUAACUGACGCUGAGGCUCGAAAGCGUGGGGAGCGAACAGGAUUAGAUACCCUGGUAGUCCACGCCGUAAACGAUGAGUGCUAGGUGUUGGAUCCUUUCCGGGAUUCAGUGCCGCAGCUAACGCAUUAAGCACUCCGCCUGGGGAGUACGACCGCAAGGUUGAAACUCAAAGGAAUUGACGGGGGCCCGCACAAGCGGUGGAGCAUGUGGUUUAAUUCGAAGCAACGCGAAGAACCUUACCAGGUCUUGACAUCCCGAUGCUAUUUCUAGAGAUAGAAAGUUACUUCGGUACAUCGGUGACAGGUGGUGCAUGGUUGUCGUCAGCUCGUGUCGUGAGAUGUUGGGUUAAGUCCCGCAACGAGCGCAACCCCUAUUGUUAGUUGCCAUCAUUCAGUUGGGCACUCUAGCGAGACUGCCGGUAAUAAACCGGAGGAAGGUGGGGAUGACGUCAAAUCAUCAUGCCCCUUAUGACCUGGGCUACACACGUGCUACAAUGGUUGGUACAACGAGUUGCGAGUCGGUGACGGCAAGCUAAUCUCUUAAAGCCAAUCUCAGUUCGGAUUGUAGGCUGCAACUCGCCUACAUGAAGUCGGAAUCGCUAGUAAUCGCGGAUCAGCACGCCGCGGUGAAUACGUUCCCGGGCCUUGUACACACCGCCCGUCACACCACGAGAGUUUGUAACACCCGAAGUCGGUGAGGUAACCUUUUGGAGCCAGCCGCCUAAGGUGGGAUAGAU
RNAcentral lists this ribosomal RNA (1452 nucleotides) under uncultured organism. RNAcentral's name for it is "16S ribosomal RNA". It matches the Rfam family "Bacterial small subunit ribosomal RNA". The record is from RNAcentral.